This 397-nucleotide ribosomal RNA is filed under the name uncultured bacterium. Its description in RNAcentral is "partial 16S ribosomal RNA". It matches the Rfam family "Bacterial small subunit ribosomal RNA", at positions 523 to 918 of the family's 1533-position model. The record is from RNAcentral.
AUACGUAGGGGGCGAGCGUUGUCCCGAAUGAUUGGGCGUAAAGGGCGCGUAGGCGGCCUGUUAAGUCUGGAGUGAAAGUCCUGUUUUCAAGAUGGGAAUUGCUUUGGAUACUGAUGGGCUUGAGUGCAGGAGAGGUUAUCGGAAUUCCCGGUGUAGCGGUGAAAUGCGUAGAGAUCGGGAGGAACACCAGUGGCGAAGGCGACUUACUGGGCCGUAACUGACGCUGAGGCGCGAAAGCGUGGGGAGCGAACAGGAUUAGAUACCCUGGUAGUCCACGCGGUAAACGAUGAAUGCUAGGUGUUGCGGGUAUCGACCCCUGCAGUGCCGGAGUAAACACAAUAAGCAUUCCGCCUGGGGAGUACGGCCGCAAGGUUGAAACUCAAAGGAAUUGACGGGG